UAAUUGAAGAGUUUGAUCAUGGCUCAGAUUGAACGCUGGCGGCAGGCCUAACACAUGCAAGUCGAGCGGUAACAGGGGAAGCUUGCU
Molecule: ribosomal RNA, 87 nt
Filed under: Providencia rettgeri
Lineage: Bacteria; Pseudomonadati; Pseudomonadota; Gammaproteobacteria; Enterobacterales; Morganellaceae
Description: partial 16S ribosomal RNA
Rfam family: Bacterial small subunit ribosomal RNA
Source: RNAcentral